RNAcentral lists this ribosomal RNA (481 nucleotides) under uncultured bacterium. RNAcentral's name for it is "partial 16S ribosomal RNA". It matches the Rfam family "Bacterial small subunit ribosomal RNA", at positions 28 to 507 of the family's 1533-position model. The record is from RNAcentral.
GACGAACGUUGGCGGCGUGCUUAAUACAUGCAAGUCAACUGAAGCAGUGGUAGCAAUAUCGCUGUGGAGGUGGCGCACGGGUGAGUAACACGUAGGUAAUCUGCCUUCAGGUCUGGCAUAACUCCGGGAAACCGGGGCUAAUAGCAGAUGAUGCAGCGGCUCGACAUCGAGACAGUUGUUAAAGCUAUGGCGCCUGAAGAUGAGCCUGCGUCUGAUUAGCUAGUUGGCGGGGUAACGGCCCACCAAGGCAACGAUCAGUAGCUGGUCUGAGAGGAUGAUCAGACACACUGGAACUGAGACACGGUCCAGACUCCUACGGGAGGCAGCAGUAAGGAAUAUUGCUCAAUGGGAGAAAUCCUGAAGCAGCAACGCCGCGUGAGGGACGAAGGGCUUUUGCUUGUAAACCUCUGUAGUGAGAGAAAAAAAUCCCAAUCUUUGGGACAUGAUGGUAUCUCAAAAGUAAGCCCCGGCUAACUACGUG